GACGAACGCUGGCGGCGUGCUCAACACAUGCAAGUCGAGCGGUAAGGCCCUUUCGGGGGUACACGAGCGGCGAACGGGUGAGUAACACGUGGGUGACCUGCCCUUAGCUCUGGGAUAAGCCUGGGAAACUGGGGUCUAAUACCGGAUAUGACUCCAUGACGCAUGUUGUGGGGUGGAAAGCCUUGUGCGGCUAGGGAUGGGGCCUGCGGCCUAUCAGCUUGUUGGUGGGGUGAGGCCUACCAAGGCGACGACGGGUAGCCGGCCUGAGAGGGCGACCGGCCACACUGGGACUGAGACACGGCCCAGACUCCUAC
This 314-nucleotide ribosomal RNA is filed under the name uncultured bacterium. RNAcentral's name for it is "bacterial SSU rRNA". It matches the Rfam family "Bacterial small subunit ribosomal RNA", at positions 28 to 342 of the family's 1533-position model. The record is from RNAcentral.